Molecule: transfer RNA, 87 nt
Filed under: Actinomycetes bacterium
Lineage: Bacteria; Bacillati; Actinomycetota; Actinomycetes
Description: Actinobacteria bacterium tRNA-Ser
Rfam family: tRNA
About the family: Transfer RNA (tRNA) molecules are approximately 80 nucleotides in length. Their secondary structure includes four short double-helical elements and three loops (D, anti-codon, and T loops).
Source: RNAcentral
GGCGGGGUGCCGGAGCGGUCGAACGGGGCGGUCUUGAAAACCGCUGGGCCUUCGCGGGCCUCGUGGGUUCGAAUCCCACCCCCGCCG